Molecule: ribosomal RNA, 871 nt
Filed under: unidentified Actinomycete OPT96A
Lineage: Bacteria; Bacillati; Actinomycetota; Actinomycetes
Description: bacterial SSU rRNA
Rfam family: Bacterial small subunit ribosomal RNA
Source: RNAcentral
GACGUAGGGGGCGAGCGUUGUCCGGAAUUACUGGGCGUAAAGAGCUCGUAGGCGGCCUGUUAAGUCGGAUGUGAAAGCCCCCGGCUCAACCGGGGAAUUGCAUCCGAUACUGGCAGGCUAGAGUCUGGUAGAGGGAGGUGGAAUUCCCGGUGUAGCGGUGAAAUGCGCAGAUAUCGGGAGGAACACCGGUGGCGAARGCGGCCUCCUGGGCCAUGACUGACGCUGAGGAGCGAAAGCUGGGGGAGCGAACAGGAUUAGAUACCCUGGUAGUCCCAGCCGUAAACGAURGGCACUARGUGUGGGGGGUUACCAUACCCUCCGUGCCGAAGCUAACGCAUUAAGUGCCCCGCCUGGGGAGUACGGCCGCAAGGUUWAAACUCAAAGGAAUUGACGGGGGCCCGCACAAGCGGCGGAGCAUGUGGCUUAAUUCGACGCAACGCGAAGAACCUUACCAGGGCUUGACAUGCACGCGAAAGCCGUGGAAACACGGCCCUCCCUUCGGGGACGCGUGCACAGGUGGUGCAUGGCUGUCGUCAGCUCGUGUCGUGAGAUGUUGGGUUAAGUCCCGCAACGAGCGCAACCCYUGCCGCAUGUUGCCAGCGGGUAAUGCCGGGCAMUCAUGCGGGACUGCCGGUGUCAAACAGGAGGAAGGUGGGGAUGACGUCAAGUCAUCAUGCCCCUUAUGCCCUGGGCUGCACACGUGCUACAAUGGCCGGUACAAUGGGCUGCGAUGCCGCGAGGCGGAGCGAAUCCCAAAAAGCCGGUCUAAGUUCGGAUCGGAGGCUGCAACUCGCCUCCGUGAAGUCGGAGUCGCUAGUAAUCGCGGAUCAGCAAUGCCGCGGUGAAUACGUUCCCGGGCCUUGUACACACC